AGCAGCCGCGGUAAUUCCAGCUCCAAUAGCGUAUAUUAAAGUUGCUGCAGUUAAAAAGCUCGUAGUUGAAUUUCGGGACUAAUAUGUCGGUCGUGCCUCGGUACGUACUGGUUUAUUGGUUUCUCCUUUCUGAAGAACCAUGAUGUCAUUUAUUUGGUGUCGUGGGGAAUCAGGACUGUUACUUUGAAAAAUUAGAGUGUUUAAAGCAGGCUCACGCUUGAAUACAUUAGCAUGGAAUAAUGAAAUAGGACGUUUGAUUCUAUUUUGUUGGUUUCUAGGAUCGACGUAAUGAUUAAUAGGGAUAGUUGGGGGCAUUAGUAUUCAAUUGUCAGAGGUGGAAUUCUUGGAUUUAUUGAAGACUAACUACUGCGAAAGCAUUUGCCAAGGAUGUUUUCAUUAAUCAAGAACGAAAGUUAGGGGAUCGAAGACGAUCAGAUACCGUCGUAGUCUUAACCAUAAACUAUGCCGACUAGGGAUCGGAUGAUGUUAAUUUUUAAUGACUCAUUCGGCGCCUUAAC
RNAcentral lists this unclassified non-coding RNA (518 nucleotides) under uncultured Glomus. RNAcentral's name for it is "SSU rRNA". It matches the Rfam family "Eukaryotic small subunit ribosomal RNA", at positions 569 to 1092 of the family's 1831-position model. Lineage: Eukaryota; Fungi; Glomeromycota; Glomeromycetes; Glomerales; Glomeraceae. The record is from RNAcentral.